This 75-nucleotide transfer RNA is filed under the name Candidatus Nitrosopumilus sp. RNAcentral's name for it is "Nitrosopumilus sp. tRNA-Met". It matches the Rfam family "tRNA". From Rfam's summary of the family: Transfer RNA (tRNA) molecules are approximately 80 nucleotides in length. Their secondary structure includes four short double-helical elements and three loops (D, anti-codon, and T loops). The record is from RNAcentral. Lineage: Archaea; Thermoproteati; Nitrososphaerota; Nitrososphaeria; Nitrosopumilales; Nitrosopumilaceae.
AGCGGGGUGGGGAAGCCAGGUCAUCCCGGCGGGCUCAUAACCCGCAGUUCAAUAGUUCAAAUCUAUUCCCCGCUA